This 379-nucleotide ribosomal RNA is filed under the name uncultured bacterium. RNAcentral's name for it is "bacterial SSU rRNA". It matches the Rfam family "Bacterial small subunit ribosomal RNA", at positions 790 to 1167 of the family's 1533-position model. The record is from RNAcentral.
GUAGUCCACGCUGUAAACGAUGAAGACUAGAUGUUGGGUGGCUUGGACCAUUUAGUAUCGAAGCUAACGCGAUAAGUCUUCCGCCUGGGGAGUACGGCCGCAAGGCUAAAACUCAAAGGAAUUGACGGGGGCCCGCACAAGCGGUGGAGCAUGUGGUUUAAUUCGAUGCAACGCGAAGAACCUUACCUACCCUUGACAUCCACAGAAUUCUGCAGAGAUGCGGAAGUGCCGAAAGGAACUGUGAGACAGGUGCUGCAUGGCUGUCGUCAGCUCGUGUUGUGAGAUGUUGGGUUAAGUCCCGUAACGAGCGCAACCCUUAUCCUUAGUUACCAGCAUGUAAAGAUGGGAACUCUAAGGAGACUGCCGGUGAUGAACCGGA